Molecule: ribosomal RNA, 875 nt
Filed under: uncultured marine group I thaumarchaeote
Lineage: Archaea; Thermoproteati; Nitrososphaerota
Description: bacterial SSU rRNA
Rfam family: Archaeal small subunit ribosomal RNA
Source: RNAcentral
CCUGACUGCUAUCGGAUUGAUACUAAGCCAUGCGAGUCAUUGUAGCAAUACAAGGCAUACGGCUCAGUAACGCGUAGUCAACCUAACCUAUGGACGGGAAUAACCUCGGGAAACUGAGAAUAAUGCCCGAUAGAACACUAUACCUGGAAUGGUUUGUGUUCCAAAUGAUUUAUCGCCAUAGGAUGGGACUGCGGCCUAUCAGUUUGUUGGUGAGGUAAUGGCCCACCAAGACUAUUACAGGUACGGGCUCUGAGAGGAGUAGCCCGGAGAUGGGUACCGAGACACGGACCCAGGCCCUAUGGGGCGCAGCAGGCGAGAAAACUUUGCAAUGUGCGAAAGCACGACAAGGUUAAUCCGAGUGAUUUGUGCUAAACGAAUCUUUUGUUAGUCCUAGAAACACUAACGAAUAAGGGGUGGGCAAGUUCUGGUGUCAGCCGCCGCGGUAAAACCAGCACCUCAAGUGGUCAGGAUGAUUAUUGGGCCUAAAGCAUCCGUAGCCGGCUCUGUAAGUUUUCGGUUAAAUCUGUACGCUUAACGUACAGGCUGCCGGGAAUACUGCAGAGCUAGGGAGUGGGAGAGGUAGACGGUACUCGGUAGGAAGUGGUAAAAUGCUUUGAUCUAUCGAUGACCACCUGUGGCGAAGGCGGUCUACCAGAACACGUCCGACGGUGAGGGAUGAAAGCUGGGGGAGCAAACCGGAUUAGAUACCCGGGUAGUCCCAGCUGUAAACUAUGCAAACUCAGUGAUGCAUUGGCUUGUGGCCAAUGCAGUGCUGCAGGGAAGCCGUUAAGUUUGCCGCCUGGGAAGUACGUACGCAAGUAUGAAACUUAAAGGAAUUGGCGGGGGAGCACCACAAGGGGUGAAGCCUGCGGUUC